This 305-nucleotide ribosomal RNA is filed under the name uncultured bacterium. Its description in RNAcentral is "bacterial SSU rRNA". It matches the Rfam family "Bacterial small subunit ribosomal RNA", at positions 336 to 637 of the family's 1533-position model. The record is from RNAcentral.
CUCCUACGGGGCGCAGCAGUGAGGAAUAUUGGUCAAUGGGCGCAAGCCUGAACCAGCCAAGUCGCGUGAGGGAUGACGGUCCUAUGGAUUGUAAACCUCUUUUGUCGGGGAGCAAGGCCCGCCACGUGUGGCGGGAAGGAGAGCACCCGAAGAAAAAGCAUCGGCUAACUCCGUGCCAGCAGCCGCGGUAAUACGUAGGUGGCAAGCGUUAUCCGGAUUUAUUGGGCGUAAAGGGAACGCAGGCGGUCUUUUAAGUCUGAUGUGAAAGCCUUCGGCUUAACCGGAGUAGUGCAUUGGAAACUGGG